Molecule: long non-coding RNA, 210 nt
Filed under: Cottoperca gobio
Lineage: Eukaryota; Metazoa; Chordata; Actinopteri; Perciformes; Bovichtidae
Description: lncRNA (ENSCGOG00000015343.1)
Source: RNAcentral
GAAAAUGUCGCCUGUGAGCGCGCGUAUUUCGCCUGGGUCCCGGAGCAGAAGAGGAGCGCCUUUCAGCAGACACACCCACUUUAUUUUGUAGGACAGGACACACACACACACAGGAAGAGGAAAGCAGUGUGUGACUCUGUGACUGUCAGGACACAGCGAGAGGCAGGAGGCACCACUCGUGAGAGGAUGUUGUGAGACGACCGAGGGGAC